CGCGGGGUGGAGCAGUGGUAGCUCGUUGGGCUCAUAACCCAAAGGUCAUAGGUUCGAUCCCUAUCCCCGCAACUA
This 75-nucleotide transfer RNA is filed under the name Porphyromonas sp. CAG:1061. RNAcentral describes it as "transfer RNA-Met(CAT)". It matches the Rfam family "tRNA". From Rfam's summary of the family: Transfer RNA (tRNA) molecules are approximately 80 nucleotides in length. Their secondary structure includes four short double-helical elements and three loops (D, anti-codon, and T loops). Lineage: Bacteria; Pseudomonadati; Bacteroidota; Bacteroidia; Bacteroidales; Porphyromonadaceae. The record is from RNAcentral. RNAcentral also lists the same sequence under 1 other name.